Molecule: ribosomal RNA, 339 nt
Filed under: uncultured bacterium
Lineage: Bacteria
Description: bacterial SSU rRNA
Rfam family: Bacterial small subunit ribosomal RNA
Source: RNAcentral
AAUCAACGCUGGCGGCGUGCCUCAGACAUGCAAGUCGAACGAUUAAAGCUCUCUUCGGAGAGUGUAUAGAGUGGCGCACGGGUGAGUAACACGUAAGUAAUCUACCUUUGAGUGGGGAAUAACAAUCGGAAACGAUUGCUAAUACCGCAUAAUGCAGCGGCAUCGCAAGAUGACAGUUGUUAAAGGAGCAAUCCGCUUAAAGAGGAGCUUGCGGCAGAUUAGCUAGUUGGUAAGGUAAUGGCUUACCAAGGCUACGAUCUGUAACCGGUCUAAGAGGACGGUCGGUCACACUGACACUGAAUGACGGGUCAGACUCCUACGGGAGGCAGCAGUCGGGAA